UUUAUUGGAGAGUUUGAUCCUGGCUCAGGAUGAACGCUGGCGGCGUGCCUAAUACAUGCAAGUCGAGCGAAUGGAUUGAGAGCUUGCUCUCAAGAAGUUAGCGGCGGACGGGUGAGUAACACGUGGGUAACCUACCCAUAAGACUGGGAUAACUCCGGGAAACCGGGGCUAAUACCGGAUAACAUUUUGAACUGCAUGGUUCGAAAUUGAAAGGCGGCUUCGGCUGUCACUUAUGGAUGGACCCGCGUCGCAUUAGCUAGUUGGUGAGGUAACGGCUCACC
RNAcentral lists this ribosomal RNA (281 nucleotides) under Bacillus sp. CH140a_4T. RNAcentral describes it as "partial 16S ribosomal RNA". It matches the Rfam family "Bacterial small subunit ribosomal RNA", at positions 1 to 269 of the family's 1533-position model. The record is from RNAcentral. Lineage: Bacteria; Bacillati; Bacillota; Bacilli; Caryophanales; Bacillaceae.